CCUACGGGAGGCUGCAGUAGGGAAUAUUGCUCAAUGGGGGAAACCCUGAAGCAGCAACGCCGCGUGGAGGAUGAAGGUUUUCGGAUUGUAAACUCCUUUUGUUAGAGAAGACAAUGACGGUAUCUAACGUCUAAUCACCGGCUAAAUCCGUGCCAGCAGCCGCGGUAAUACGGAGGGUGCAAGCGUUACUCGGAAGGACUGGGCGUAAAGGGCGCGUAGGCGGGAUAGCAAGUCAGAUGUGAAAUCCUAUGGCUUAACCGUAGAACUGCAUUUGAAACUGUUAGUCUAGAGUUUGGGAGAGGUAGGUGGAAUUCUUGGUGUAGAGGUGAAAUCCGUAGAGAUCAAGAGGAAUACUCAUUGCGAAGGC
This 367-nucleotide ribosomal RNA is filed under the name uncultured bacterium. RNAcentral's name for it is "partial 16S ribosomal RNA". It matches the Rfam family "Bacterial small subunit ribosomal RNA", at positions 338 to 722 of the family's 1533-position model. The record is from RNAcentral.